RNAcentral lists this ribosomal RNA (301 nucleotides) under uncultured bacterium. Its description in RNAcentral is "partial 16S ribosomal RNA". It matches the Rfam family "Bacterial small subunit ribosomal RNA", at positions 509 to 808 of the family's 1533-position model. The record is from RNAcentral.
CAGCAGCCGCGGGAAUACGUAGGUCCCGAGCGUUGUCCGGAUUUAUUGGGCGUAAAGCGAGCGCAGGCGGUUAGAUAAGUCUGAAGUUAAAGGCUGUGGCUUAACCAUAGUACGCUUUGGAAACUGUUUAACUUGAGUGCAAGAGGGGAGAGUGGAAUUCCAUGUGUAGCGGUGAAAUGCGUAGACAUAUGGAGGAACACCGGUGGCGAAAGCGGCUCUCUGGCUUGCAACUGACGCUGAGGCUCGAAAGCGUGGGGAGCAAACAGGAUUAGAUACCCCAGUAGUCCCUGUCUCUUAUACA